AAUUUUGGACAAUGGGGGAAACGCUGAUCCAGCCAUCCCGCGCGUAUGAUGAAGGCCUUCGGGUUGUAAAGUACUUUGGGCAGAGAAGAAAAGGUAUCUCCUAAUACGAGAUACUGCUGACGGUAUCUGCAGAAUAAGCACCGGCUAACGACGUGCCAGCAGCCGCGGUAAUAAGUAGGGUGCAAGAGUUAAUCGGAAUUACAGGGCGUAAAGCGUGUGUAGGCGGUUCGAAAAGAAAGAUGUGAAAUCCCAGGGCUCAACCUUGGAACUGCAUUUUUAACUGCAAAGCUAGAGUAUGUCAGAGGGGGGUAGAAUUCCACGUGUAGCAGUGAAAUGCGUAGAUAUGUGGAGGAAUACCGAUGGCGAAGGCAGCCCCCUGGGAUAAUACUGACGCUCAGACACGAAAGCGUGGGGAGCAAACAGG
Molecule: ribosomal RNA, 424 nt
Filed under: uncultured bacterium
Lineage: Bacteria
Description: partial 16S ribosomal RNA
Rfam family: Bacterial small subunit ribosomal RNA
Source: RNAcentral